Molecule: long non-coding RNA, 406 nt
Organism: Zalophus californianus (California sea lion)
Lineage: Eukaryota; Metazoa; Chordata; Mammalia; Carnivora; Otariidae
Exons: 3
Source: RefSeq, a predicted model, not a curated record
GGCAGAACAACAUUUGCAGCUCUUGGGCACCCUUGUCCCUUGAGACUCUCUCCCUUGUCACAGAAUUGUCAGGAACUGUCCCCUGCUAACGUUUGAGCUGCCAACCUCUGGAUCAGCACAGACCAGAGUCAAUUGGAGCUUCCUGGGCUCCACCCCGCCUCUCCACGCUGCAGACUCCUUGAGGACGUGUUUCUCUUCGACAUCGCGUCCUCAGCAUAUAGCACAGCACGCUUACUAGGCAAUCAGGGACUAUCUGCUGAACGACUUAAGAAAUGAAUAGCAUGCACAAGUCAGCAUCCUUGCGCUCACCAGGUCUCUGUAUCCUUCUGAACAAAGCCACUCCACGCAGUUGUUAACGGAGUAGAUCACCAACUGAAAACUAUUUUUACAUCAUAUUAUAAAGCCA